UGAUGUGCCAGUCGAUCGAUCGAUGCUUUUUUAAUCACCUUAUUUUACCAUUUUAUCCGUGCGUGAGCUUUUCUCGGGAACUAUAAAAGUUGAGUUGCAGAUUCUAGUGAUUAGAAAUGAAGAAAAAAUUAAAAUAGAAUUAAUACCUUGUAAUUUUUAUGAUAAAACGCAUAAUGAUUACGGUCUCUUUUUAAAAGUGAAAUGCUUGGACCAACAAAGACGACUAAUUUGAAAAAAAACUUGUCCCUGUCAUAUGCAAACACGAUUCUGCACGGACAACUGCCACUGUCACUCUGAGCCCUUUUCCGAUCCUCAUCUCUCAUCUCCCCGGCCACCCUUCCAUCAGUAUUUGUGUGGGCUAAGAGCCCCACGUUGAUGCAAUUUUCGUCUUCCUGCCAAAUAUCCAAAAAUAUCAAGCCAAGACCAAUUAUGAGUAGAACAAUUAAUCUCUAAUUAUGCCUGAAUAUCUGUCAGGCGAAUUAUUAGUGAGAAUGAAAUGAAAAUCAACGCGAGGAAUCACCGGAUUAGCAUGGAGGAAAAGAGGGGAGAUCGUGCUAACGACCUCACAGAUCAUAUCUUGGGUGCCAACCUCUCUUCGGAACCCCCUGCUUUUGGGGAUGCGAUACUGUGAGGCCUCGGGCCUCUUGUGCCACGGAUUUGCCUGAUGAUCGGAUUAUGACAGCCAACGACACAGCACAGGCAAGAGUUUUCUUUUGGCUGACGAUGCCAACAGAUGCAACGGAUGCCGCUUCUUGAUCGCCACUUGUAAUUCGGAUUAUGAGAAAAUUCAUUAGAUAAUUUCAGUCCGUGUCGCAUUUUGAUGGAGAGCUUGUGAGGCGCACUACCGCACACUCUCCCAUCGCACUUAUCUCCGGCUAAGUAUGCCAAUUAGUUAAUAUUAGCAGCUAUUAAAAUCGGCUAGGAGCUCGUUGCCUCGUCUGACUAAUCUCAGGAAGUCGCCUGACGUAAGCCGCCCAUAUAGGAUAAUGGAAUCGGCUUCAAUCGCUGUGUCUGUAUUAUAAGCUCAUUAAGUGCGCAACACUGUUAUCGGUACUUCCGUUUCUGCGCCGUUGAGGGGUAAUUCAGGAUAAAGCUGGAAAGAUUUUUAUACCCAUUACUCGUAGAGUAGAAGGGUUUACUAGAUUUGUUAAAAAGUAUGUUACAGGCAGAAGGAAGGAUCCAAGAAAAAUAUCGAUAUGGAUUAAAAAUGAAUUGUUGUUGGAUUAAGCGACAGCCAAAAUCCAUACUUUGUUCCAAUCCCGUUCGGUUUUUUUUUAAUAAAGAAAGCCAACAGAACAGUUUCGCUUAAAUCCCUAGACUGAAAUCGUAAAAAUAAAUUUUUAAUACCUGGCAAGGUUGGACCGAGGCGAUAGAAGGUUGGAGGAGACAGAAAUUUUGCUUGAACCGGCCAACCAUCAUUUCAAAAUAACGUAUCGUAAAUUUUCAAGUUAACAUCAAAAUUGUGAAAAUUAUGUACAAUUCCCAGGAACAGAAACGAGUGCAGACCGAAAACAUUCAUAACCAAAUUUAUUGCAAAUAAGAAAAAUGUCCGCCAUCCGAUAGACGGUCGGAGACGAAAUGAGAGUGAGAUGGGAAAACUGGGAAAACCAACAGAUAGACAAAAAUGCGAGUUGAGUGGAAAACUUCAGAGCCAGGAGGACAUGGCAGGCGAGCUGUGAACGUAGUAAAAGUGGCUACAUUACAACAGCAAAAACAAUGGCUUUUGUGCUCUGUAGUGUUCCCACUGGGUCCCAUCCUCUGUGGUCAGUAGAAAAUGUGGAAAAAUAGAUGAAAAGCAAGGCAUAAAAAACAUAAAUUCACUCAAAAAAAGAGACAGGAAAAAAACAUAAGCAAAAAAUGAGGAAAGACAAACAUGCGCCGCAAGGAUCGAAGGGGGUGUAAUUUGGCGAGACUGGGAUUCGGCAUUUAAGGACACCGGCUGCCUUCCAUCGAAGCAAACAGCAGGCCAAGCAAUUGACAUGCCCCGACCAUCCGAAGAGCUAAAGAGACAAAACAUCCACUCCAGAGUAACUGGGUUGACCGACCCGAACGCGAAAGUGUUGGAAUGCUUCAGAGUGAAACAUUUCAGCUAGCGGUAGCUUGCUGGAAUUGGCAAAAGAAAUCGGUCGGGACACAAGAAUAUUUGUUGUCACUGGAAAUUAAGUUUAAAUGCACACUGCCAUUUAAGGAAGCCCUGGUUCUUGGAGCGCAAGUUGUGAAUUGCACAAAGAUUUCGCUCAUACUCAGAUUAUUAUAAUUGAAAUGAUUUUUGACACUUAGUAUAUGCUCAAGUUUUUAUUGA
This is a long non-coding RNA of Drosophila yakuba, 2302 nucleotides long. RefSeq lists it as uncharacterized. The transcript has 3 exons. The record is from RefSeq and is a predicted model, not a curated record. NCBI's taxonomy places the organism in Eukaryota, Metazoa, Arthropoda, Insecta, Diptera, Drosophilidae.